AGAGUUCGAUUCUGGCUCAGGACGAACGCUGGCGGCGCGCCUAACACAUGCAAGUCGAACGAGCGAGAGAGAGCUUGCUUUCUCGAGCGAGUGGCGAACGGGUGAGUAACGCGUGAGGAACCUGCCUCAAAGAGGGGGACAACAGUUGGAAACGACUGCUAAUACCGCAUAAGCCCACGGCUCGGCAUCGAGCAGAGGGAAAAGGAGCAAUCCGCUUUGAGAUGGCCUCGCGUCCGAUUAGCUAGUUGGUGAGGUAACGGCCCACCAAGGCGACGAUCGGUAGCCGGACUGAGAGGUUGAACGGCCACAUUGGGACUGAGACACGGCCCAG
RNAcentral lists this ribosomal RNA (331 nucleotides) under uncultured bacterium. Its description in RNAcentral is "bacterial SSU rRNA". It matches the Rfam family "Bacterial small subunit ribosomal RNA", at positions 8 to 334 of the family's 1533-position model. The record is from RNAcentral.